RNAcentral lists this ribosomal RNA (1001 nucleotides) under uncultured bacterium. RNAcentral's name for it is "bacterial SSU rRNA". It matches the Rfam family "Bacterial small subunit ribosomal RNA", at positions 86 to 1122 of the family's 1533-position model. The record is from RNAcentral.
AAUUAGUGAGUGGCGCCGGGUGCGUAACGCGUGGGAUAUACCCUUGAGUAAGGAAUAACUGCUGGAAGCGGUAGCUAAUACCUUAUAAUGACUCCGGUCCAAAGAUUUAUCGCUCAGGGAUUAGCCCGCGUCUGAUUAGAUAGUUGGUGAGGUAACGGCUCACCAAGUCGACGAUCAGUAGGGGGUCUGAGAGGAUGAUCCCCCACACUGGAACUGAGACACGGUCCAGACUCCUACGGGAGGCAGCAGUGAGGAAUAUUGCGCAAUGGAGGAAACUCUGACGCAGCCAUGCCGCGUGAGUGAAGAAGGCCCUAGGGUUGUAAAGCUCUUUCAGAUGCGAAGAUAAUGACGGUAACAUCAGAAGAAGCCCCGGCUAAAUCCGUGCCAGCAGCCGCGGUAAUACGAAUGGGGCAAGCGUUGUUCGGAAUCACUGGGCUUAAAGCGUAUGUAGGCGGAAAUGAAAGUCAGAAGUGAAAUCCCGGAGCUCAACUCCGGAACUGCUUUUGAAACUCCAUUUCUAGAAUCCUGGAGAGGUCGGGGGAAUUCCGAGUGUAGAGGUGAAAUUCGCAGAUAUUCGGAGGAACACCAGUGGCGAAGGCGCCCGACUGGACAGGUAUUGACGCUCAGAUACGAAAGCGUGGGGAGCAAACAGGAUUAGAUACCCUGGUAGUCCACGCCGUAAACGAUGUGUGCUAGUUGUUGGGCUCUUCGAGUUCAGUGACGCAGAGAAAUCAUUAAGCACACCGCCCGGGGAGUACGGCCGCAAGGUUAAAACUCAAAGGAAUUGACGGGGACUCGCACAAGCGGUGGAGCAUGUUGUUUAAUUCGAAGCAACGCGAAGAACCUUACCACCCCUUAACUAUCCUCUUGGGACUUUCAGAGAUGAUUGUCUUCGGUUCGGCCGGGGAGUGACUAGGUGCUGCAUGGCUGUCGUCAGCUCGUGUCGUGAGAUGUUGGGUUAAGUCCCGCAACGAGCGCAACCCUUAUCGUCUGUUGCCAUC